Octopus sinensis (East Asian common octopus) is the source of this 235-nucleotide long non-coding RNA. RefSeq lists it as uncharacterized. The transcript is spliced from 4 exons. The record is from RefSeq and is a predicted model, not a curated record. Lineage: Eukaryota; Metazoa; Mollusca; Cephalopoda; Octopoda; Octopodidae.
AUGUUGUGGGCGAGAAUGAGAUCACCACGGCGGCGGCGUUUUUCUAGAGAAUAAAGGUCGAGCGUCCUCAGCCAUUCUUCAUAGGAAAAACUUUGAGACAUGAACCAUGCGGGUUAGCCAGCUUGUGGACUCUUUCGAGAUACUGUAUGUCUUUGAGGAGAUAAGAAGAAGAGGCUUGAAUCCCGUACUCCAAUAUGGGUCUCACCAGCUAAUGUGAGCACGGUGAUGGUGCAGG